GGGCAUGUAGCGCAGUGGUAGCGCGUCCGCUUUGCAUGCGGAAGGUCUAGGGUUCGAUCCCCUACUUGUCCA
Non-coding RNA from Westerdykella ornata, 72 nucleotides. NCBI's taxonomy places the organism in Eukaryota, Fungi, Ascomycota, Dothideomycetes, Pleosporales, Sporormiaceae. The record is from the annotation of a RefSeq genome assembly.